This 253-nucleotide unclassified non-coding RNA is filed under the name uncultured Caryophanales bacterium. Its description in RNAcentral is "uncultured Bacillales bacterium contains 16S-23S intergenic spacer region". It matches the Rfam family "Bacterial small subunit ribosomal RNA", at positions 524 to 776 of the family's 1533-position model. The record is from RNAcentral. Lineage: Bacteria; Bacillati; Bacillota; Bacilli; Caryophanales.
UACGUAGGUGGCAAGCGUUGUCCGGAAUUAUUGGGCGUAAAGCGCGCGCAGGCGGUCCCUUAAGUCUGAUGUGAAAGCCCACGGCUCAACCGUGGAGGGUCAUUGGAAACUGGAGGACUUGAGUACAGAAGAGGAAAGUGGAAUUCCACGUGUAGCGGUGAAAUGCGUAGAGAUGUGGAGGAACACCAGUGGCGAAGGCGACUCUCUGGUCUGUAACUGACGCUGAGGCGCGAAAGCUGGGGUCUCGAACCGG